AGGUAACACUAAUUUUCUAGAAAAACCUAUUUAUUAUGGCGGCAUUUUAUCUUCUUAGAGGAAUUUGCUAGAUAAUCGACAAUCCGCGUUAAUUUUCACUUUUUAUGAUAAUUUAUAUACCUCCAUCUAAAGAACCUAUUAUUAAAUAUUCUCCUAAUAAUAUAUAAAAAGUUAGGUCAAGGUGUAGUCUAUUUCCAAGACUUUAGUGAAUUACUUUAAAUAGAAUUUAAGGACUUAAAAAUUAAAAUCUUCUACAAAAAAGAAUUUAAAAGUAAUAAUUAAAUAUUAUUUUAUUAUGAAUAAGAAAACAAAUGUGC
Molecule: ribosomal RNA, 317 nt
Filed under: Anisacate tigrinum
Lineage: Eukaryota; Metazoa; Arthropoda; Arachnida; Araneae; Macrobunidae
Description: partial 12S ribosomal RNA
Source: RNAcentral